Molecule: ribosomal RNA, 379 nt
Filed under: uncultured eukaryote
Lineage: Eukaryota
Description: partial 18S ribosomal RNA
Rfam family: Eukaryotic small subunit ribosomal RNA
Source: RNAcentral
CAAUAGCGUAUAUUUAAGUUGUUGCAGUUAAAAAGCUCGUAGUUGGAUUUCGGAUGGGACUUGCCGGUCCGUCGUUUCGAUGUGCACUGGCCGGUCCUAUCUUGUUGUCGGGGACUAGCUCCUGGGCUUCACUGUCCGGGACUAGGAGCUGACGAGGUUACUUUGAGUAAAUUAGAGUGUUCAAAGCAAGCCUACGCUCUGAAUACAUUAGCAUGGAAUAACACGAUAGGACUCUGGCUUAUCUUGUUGGUCUGUGAGACCAGAGUAAUGAUUAAGAGGGACAGUCGGGGGCAUUCGUAUUUCAUUGUCAGAGGUGAAAUUCUUGGAUUUAUGAAAGACGAACUUCUGCGAAAGCAUUUGUCAAGGAUGUUUNCAUUAA